UAUUUACUGAAAGUGUUUUUUUACAUUUACAGGCCAUCCACAAACAUAAAAGAGGGCCUGGCGCUAUCAUUGGUUCAGACAUUCCCUGAAUGAUGGAUCCGACAUGGGCUAUAUUUCCAGAGACUCCAGAAUGAAAACCAAGCUCUGAGGGAGGAGAACCACACCCUGAGGGAAAGCAAUGCACAAGCAGCUACGGAUGACAGCGGCUCCCUUCAAGAGCAGGUGAAGCAAGUUGGGACAAUGUUGAAGACGUUUGCUAGCACUUGGCAAUCAGGUGCAGAUCAGACCCUAAUGCUCGACAACAAAAUGGAAACUAUGCAGCAACAUUUCAGUGCCAAUGUGUCUGUUGGAGAGCCACUGAUGAGGCGGUCCAGGUUAACGUUAUGCGUUACCUGAAAGGAGCAUCUGACCGUGAAGGCGGAAAAAGGCGCCGCACAGCUGAGAGGGACCCACAGCCGACCCUUAAAAACCUAGGCUGACUACUGACACCCCCGCAUCACUGACAACUGGAACACUUUCUUUAUCCUGCAGUCAGUAACCUCAAGAAGCCAGAAGUGCCAGACUACACUCACCCAA
Perca fluviatilis (European perch) is the source of this 576-nucleotide long non-coding RNA. RefSeq lists it as uncharacterized. The transcript is spliced from 4 exons. Lineage: Eukaryota; Metazoa; Chordata; Actinopteri; Perciformes; Percidae. The record is from RefSeq and is a predicted model, not a curated record.